UACGGGGGGGGCAAGCGUUGUCCGGAAUUACUGGGCGUAAAGGGCGCGUAGGCGGCCUUCUAAGUCAGACGUGAAAUCCCUCGGCUCAACCGAGGAACUGCGUCUGAUACUGGAAGGCUUGAAUCCGGGAGAGGGAUGUGGAAUUCCAGGUGUAGCGGUGAAAUGCGUAGAUAUCUGGAGGAACACCGGUGGCGAAGGCGGCAUCCUGGACCGGUAUUGACGCUGAGGCGCGAAAGCUAGGGGAGCAAACGGG
Molecule: ribosomal RNA, 253 nt
Filed under: uncultured bacterium
Lineage: Bacteria
Description: partial 16S ribosomal RNA
Rfam family: Bacterial small subunit ribosomal RNA
Source: RNAcentral